Molecule: long non-coding RNA, 1014 nt
Organism: Armigeres subalbatus
Lineage: Eukaryota; Metazoa; Arthropoda; Insecta; Diptera; Culicidae
Exons: 3
Source: RefSeq, a predicted model, not a curated record
GCAUUAAUCAAACAGCCAAGCUCUCCAAGGCCGAGGCCAUUUGUUUUCUGGAUAAGGUGGGAAAGGGAUAGCAGCGCGACUAUAUUGUCUAGAUAUCAAUCGUGCCGAUAAAGUCCCGAUUGUACACAAAGGGGUCGGGAAAUGACGAUUCACAGACACGAUCAUUUCGUCCGUGAUUCUCCAAGGAGUUGGAAGUACGCGUUUGUUGUUAGUGUUUCGUUUGUUACAAUUACUGUAGCCAAGUAAAGUGUGCGUGUAAUUUGUGUGCGGUUGUGACCAAAAAAGCUAGAUCAAAAGAUUGGCUUUAAUUUCCCAUCCGCAGCGAAUUCCGCGCACCCAAGCGCGCACUUCAUCCCCUACGGACGGAAUUUUCCUGGCAUUCGCCAACCGGCCAGAAGCGGACGAUCCGUCAUCAUAUCGGUCCGAGGAGGCCGGGGACCUCUAAGUGGACGGAGUCCACCAGCCGGUCGUCAAGCUACCGGCCAUAGCGAUUCAUCGACACGCUUCAUUGACCUCGCCCAACGGUCAUCGACAGUAAGUCUUAUCGAACGGUGAGUCAAGCCUUUUUUGUACGGAAUGCGGCGUCCAAGGAGGGCGAAGCGGAGGAAUUUGUUGUCCAGUCGUAGACUGAAGGAUGUGUCGCUAAAGCCAUCACGCCGUUUUUUCUUUGUCGCGAAUUGAAAACCCAUCGACAAUAAUUGAGUCCGCCAUCACGGCCCCGUGAACACGCGUGCGUGAGCCUUUUUUUGCCACCACCGAAAGUUACGUUGCGUAACGGGAGCGCAGUCCCGCCAAGAGCGGGAAUAUGUAGUGGUGACGUCAUCGACCAGUAUUAGCCACUUCGACUGUCAUCGCAAUACGAGCUGUUACCCGGAGCGCAGAUCGUUAAGGAGAUGCGCUUCAAUAAAUCGUGACGUCACGUUAGAAGUUUAGAGCACAGAGCACGAACGAUUAUAGAUAGGAGAUAGGAAAAAACCGCACACAGCUAGGGAAAGAGAGACAAACGAACACCAA